CUUGAUGUAAUCAAAGACAUGAACUUGACCAUCUAUAACUAUUGUAUUGAUUCUAAAGAAAUCUUGAUUUAAUCUAAUUCAAUAUUUGAUUAGAUUUAAUCAAUUUUUCUACAUAGUUCAUUAACUUUUUGAUUCUAACCUUAGGUCUAAUCCAAUUAAUAGGAUCUGAUUUGAGCUAAUCCAUGCCCCCAUAUUUUAUGCAAUGACAUUAUAUCUUAAAUCACAAUUCUAAAUUUAAUCGAUUCAAU
This 248-nucleotide long non-coding RNA is filed under the name Elaeis guineensis (African oil palm). RNAcentral's name for it is "long non-coding RNA (EGUI_LNC009675)". Lineage: Eukaryota; Viridiplantae; Streptophyta; Magnoliopsida; Arecales; Arecaceae. The record is from RNAcentral.